GACGAACGUUGGCGGCGUGCUUAAUACAUGCAAGUCAACUGAAGCAGUGGUAGCAAUAUCGCUGUGGAGGUGGCGCACGGGUGAGUAACACGUAGGUAAUCUGCCUUCAGGUCUGGCAUAACUCCGGGAAACCGGGGCUAAUAGCAGAUGAUGCAGCGGCUCGACAUCGAGACAGUUGUUAAAGCUAUGGCGCCUGAAGAUGAGCCUGCGUCUGAUUAGCUAGUUGGCGGGGUAACGGCCCACCAAGGCAACGAUCAGUCGCUGGUCUGAGAGGAUGAUCAGCCACAGUGGAACUGAGACACGGUCCAGACUCCUACGGGAGGCAGCAGUAAGGAAUAUUGCUCAAUGGGAGAAAUACUGAAGCAGCAACGCCGCGUGAGGGACGAAGGGCUUUUGCUUGUAAACCUCUGUAGUGAGAGAAAAAAAUCCCAAUCUUUGGGACAUGAUGGUAUCUCAAAAGUAAGCCCCGGCUAACUACGUG
Molecule: ribosomal RNA, 481 nt
Filed under: uncultured bacterium
Lineage: Bacteria
Description: partial 16S ribosomal RNA
Rfam family: Bacterial small subunit ribosomal RNA
Source: RNAcentral